UGUCUUGGGCUUCACGCAUGCUACAAUGGCCGGUACAAAGGGUUGCGAAGCCGUGAGGUGGAGCGAAUCCCAAAAAACCGGUCUCAGUUCGGAUUGGGGUCUGCAACUCGACCCCAUGAAGUCGGAGUCGCUAGUAACUCGCAGAUCAGCAACCGCUGCGGUGAAUACGUUCCCGGGCCUU
This 181-nucleotide ribosomal RNA is filed under the name uncultured Micrococcineae bacterium. RNAcentral's name for it is "partial 16S ribosomal RNA". It matches the Rfam family "Bacterial small subunit ribosomal RNA", at positions 1205 to 1382 of the family's 1533-position model. Lineage: Bacteria; Bacillati; Actinomycetota; Actinomycetes; Micrococcales. The record is from RNAcentral.